RNAcentral lists this ribosomal RNA (366 nucleotides) under uncultured bacterium. Its description in RNAcentral is "partial 16S ribosomal RNA". It matches the Rfam family "Bacterial small subunit ribosomal RNA", at positions 338 to 701 of the family's 1533-position model. The record is from RNAcentral.
CCUACGGGAGGCUACAGUGAGGAAUAUUGGUCAAUGGGCGCGAGCCUGAACCAGCCAAGUAGCGUGAAGGAUGACGGCCCUACGGGUUGUAAACUUCUUUUAUAAAGGAAUAAAGUGAGGCACGUGUGCCUUUUUGUAUGUACUUUAUGAAUAAGGAUCGGCUAACUACGGGCCAGCAGCCGCGGUAAUACGGAGGAUCCGAGCGUUAUCCGUAUUUAUUGGGUUUAAAGGGAGCGUAGAGGGGUUGUUAAGUCAGAUGUGAAAGUUUGCGGCUCAACCGUAAAAUUGCAAUUGAUACUGGCAGUCUUGAUUACCGUUGAGGUAGGCGGAUUUCGUGGUGUAGCGGUGCAAUGCUUAGAUAUCACG